RNAcentral lists this long non-coding RNA (3657 nucleotides) under Bos taurus (domestic cattle). RNAcentral describes it as "long non-coding RNA NONBTAT029458". The record is from RNAcentral. Lineage: Eukaryota; Metazoa; Chordata; Mammalia; Artiodactyla; Bovidae.
UAUAUCAGCUCUUUGUCUGUGGUACAACUUUUUUCUCUCAAACUUUUUGCCUGCCUUUUGCUUCUGUUUAUGGUGUUUUUUGCCAUUGUGCUUUUUUUUCCAGAUUACUUUUAGAUAGUUGAGUAUACAAUUUUUAAUUGCAUGUAUACUGAGUUAAAGUUAGAAAGCCUGUCCCCAUUUGGAUACAAAGGCAUUUUAAGUCUUCUUUUAAUACCUGUAUGGGUUCAUAUUUUACAUUUAGGUCUGACACACCUGGCAGUUGAUUCUUGUGACUGACGUCAGGGAUGGGUCUAAUUUGACCCUUACAAACAGCCAGCACUUGAUCUAAUACCAUUUUAUACAUGUGUAUGUACGCAUACAUAUUUAUAUAUAUGCAUAUGCGUAUAUUUAUAUAUGUAAAUACACAUGUGUAUAUAUGUAUACACACAUACAUAAAACUGUUUUCUUGUAGAAACAAGCACACGAGGCAGUGGGCUUUUCAGAAACGGUCACUUACACUAAUACAUUUAGAGCAGAGAGCUCAAAGUGCUUGCAUAAUCAUGGGACUAUUAUUUAACGAAUUUAUGCAAAUUAAAAUUCCUUCCCUGGUGGCUACUAAAAUUUAAUUUGUGUAACACUUUACAGUUUAGAAAAGUACCCCCACAUCCUCAGUCUGGUUUACCCCAUCGUAACUCUAAUCCCAAGCAGGCUGUCCUCAACACACCGAGGGGGACUAAGGCCACAGAAGAACAGAUGACUCAGAGAGGCAUGCGGAGUGAGUGCAGUGACCCAGCUCUUCUGCCUCUUGCCAUGGUUCUCCACAGAACGGGCCCCACAGUUCUUUCACAUUAACACAGCUGUGGCUUUACAAAGUCCAUUACGAAGAAGGUGGUGGCUAAGACGCUCAAUUAUCUCUUGCAAGCCAGAGUUGGGUUAAGACUUUACUUGAAGGUUAAAGCUCUCAAAAUACUGAGCAUCUCCGGCAGCUAAAGAGCAGGAAAGUAUCUGGGAGUAUGGCAAAAGAUGUGGCUGUCCAGCAAUUCCACUCCUGGGUAUGUAUCCAAAAAACCCAAACCACUCAUUUGGAAAGACACAUGCACCCCAGUGUUCAGAGCAGCAGUCCUUACAACUGCCAGAUAUGCAGGCAACCUCAGGAUCCGUCAACAGGUGAAUGGAUAAAUGAGAUGUGGUACCUAAAUAAAAUGGAAUAUUAAUCAUACAAAAGACUGAAAUCUUGUCAUUUGCAGCAAUACGGAUGGAGUUGGAGGGCAUCAAGCUAAGUGAAAUAAGUCAGACAAAGAUAAAUACUGUAUGAUAUCACAUAUAUGGAAUUUUUUAAUUACAAUGAACUAGAUAUAGAGAAGCUAGAACCACUGGAGAAGCUAGUGGUUACAGCAGUGGGGGAGUGGGAGGUAGAAACUAGCGGGCCUAAGACAGGCCCCAGGAUGCACCGCACAACAUGGGGAACACGGCCAGCAUGUGGUAAUAACUUAGUGGGGAGUAAUCAUUAAACCUAUAUUAACAUUUUUUAAAACUAAAUAGUACUUAAUAGUACUUCCUUAAUAGUACUUCCACGUGCACAGAAUCUGAAACGUGCACACAUACACAAAACAGAGUGGGAGCCCAACCCGGGUAACGACGGUGAAGCUGUAGCAGUAAAGACAGAACAUACCUUAAUAAAAAAUGCUUGGAGAGUCACAUCCUACACGAUGUCAACUCAGAUUUCUGAACCAAAACCUGGCUUGAAAUUCUAAGGCAACAUGGGGCAACAUCAAAUGACUAGUUUGGCUACUGAGUUGUAACAGCAGCUCUCAGAGUGAUCAGAGGAGCCUUGGAGGUCCUGAGAACUUCACAGGGAUUCCGUGAGGUCAGACUAUUCUCCUCCUCCCAAGAGGUCACUUGCAUUUUUCACUGGUGAAUACUGGUUUGCACUGCAGCUGGAGUAAAACCAGGAGCCCUCUAGCACAAGGCAAGGCAGUGGAAGCAAACUGAAUCUGUAGUCCUCUUCUUCACCACUCUGGGAAAAUACAAAGCAAAUCCACUGAAGAAUUCCCUUGAUGAAGUGAAAUUUUAUUACCUUGCACCAACUGGCACCAGUUCUUCCACAGUUCUGUGAGGAAAUGGAAAGACACAUGUACAUUUCUGCUGCCUCCUGAAGUGUUUCUGUACGACUGAGUGAUCAGCUGAUGUAGCCACUUCUUUCACCUACCUAAAAGACUUACUUACAGACCAACUGGUUCUUCAGGCGUAUUUGGGAGACACUUUUUCAGUAAUGAAUGAAGUGGUCCUAUCAGUACAAGCAAUAUACACUGACAGUAUCUGUCGCACUGAUAGAAUCUGAACUUUCCAGAAAAAAAUUAGAAUCUUGGAAAAUAUGUAUUGGCCACUGAGCCUGACCAUUUCCCACCACUUUAAACUUUUCUAAUGAGAUUUAAUAAUAACUAAAAAUAUGUUAUUUGGGGAGAAGACAUUUUAUAAUGGGACAUGUUAGAAUUUGGAAGAACCUGGAGUUCAGCAAACUGAUAUUUUCUAAAUCCAAUGAAUAAUGUUACAGAGUCAAACAGGGGUAAAAAUCUACUCCAGGUGAAAGACAGACCAAUGGUUUUCUCCACUGUAGUUAGCCUGCAAAAAACACUUGUCAAGUCUUAGCACCGAAAGAAAAACUCACAAUUCUCUGGGAAAGCUAUUAAAAUACUCCUACCUUUUUCCACCUAUGUAUUUCUGAGGCUGCAUUUUCUUCCUGGAAUUCAGACAGCAUUUCAGAUCAGACGGAAUACAGCAGAUGGGAGAACCCAGCUGUCUUCCAUUAAGCCAGACACUAAAGAGUUUAUAAAAAUGUAACACAACGGCACCCUUCACAGACUUUUUUUAGUUUCACAGAGCUGUUUUCUGUAAAGUUAUGCUAACAUGAAAUGGAUUUACUAUCGCUACUUAUAAAUGAAUAUUUUUAAAUUUUCAGCUUUUAUUUACCACAUGGCAAAUAUAGAUAAAUGACCACAUUAAAAAUAAUUCUUUGGGGUUCUUAGUAAGUACAAAUAUAAAGGAAUCCUGGGAAUUCCCUGCCGAUCUAGUGGUUAGGACUCCACGCUUUCACUGCUGAGUGCCCAGGUUGGGAAACUAAGAUCCCACAAGCUGCGAGCAAAAAAUAAGUAAAAUAGAAGAGGAAUCUUGUGACCAAAAAAUUUUGAAAAUCACUGUAUCUAAAUUUUAGAAAAGUAAAUUUUACCCCAAGACAAGACAGAAAAGAAUUGUCACCAACUAAUUUAAAAAGUUUCGGUAAUACAAUGAGUUCAAGGUACAGCUCUCCCCAAACCUGUGUGGUAGUGUGUGUGUGGGUGUGUAUUACUCUCCCUUCAACUAUAUAUAAUCAUAUUUUGAGGAACUGGAGGCAUCAUUAUUUUAUUGCUUCUUAAAAAUAUAACCAUUUCCAUAUAUGCUCUAUCUGAAAAAUAUCUUAAAAUAUCCUUGAAUUUCAUGGACCUCUUCACAUUACUCACUUCAUGUAUUUUUUUAUUUUAUGUAUAUAUUAUAGUUCUUCCUAUAAUUCUCUAAAGUGACCAUGAUCACAGGAUAAAUCUUACAGUGAGAAUUCCCUAUCAAUGUCUACAGUCCUAUUUCAGCAUCAGAUCAGAUCAGAUCAGUUGCUCAGUCGUGUCCGACUCUUUGCAACCCCAUGAA